AGGGGGUGGAGUGGUGCCUUUCCACGUUCACUUCCUUCUAGCUUUUUACAAACAAGGGGCGGUGGACUCCGAUUCAAAAGACUGCCUUUCUCACGUAGGCAUAUGCAUGUGAGAGCUAUGAAAAAAAAAGCUCAAUUAGUGAUAAGAUCAAGUGACUAUCCAUAAUAUAAAAGAAAAAGAAAAAAAGAAGGCCAAUUUUUAUCAAUAAUAGAAGAUCCCCCCAUGUGCAAUUUCUGCCCAC
This 241-nucleotide long non-coding RNA is filed under the name Gossypium raimondii (Peruvian cotton). RNAcentral's name for it is "long non-coding RNA (GRAI_LNC004947)". The record is from RNAcentral. Lineage: Eukaryota; Viridiplantae; Streptophyta; Magnoliopsida; Malvales; Malvaceae.